This 468-nucleotide ribosomal RNA is filed under the name uncultured bacterium. RNAcentral's name for it is "partial 16S ribosomal RNA". It matches the Rfam family "Bacterial small subunit ribosomal RNA", at positions 28 to 507 of the family's 1533-position model. The record is from RNAcentral.
GACGAACGCUGGCGGUGUGCCUAAUACAUGCAAGUCGAACGGAAAGGCCCUGCUUUUGUUGGUUGCUCGAGUGGCGAACGGGUGAGUAUCACGCGAGUAACCUGCCCUUGACUUUGUGAUAUCUUCAGGAAACUGGGGCUAUUACCGGAUAUGAGCUCCUGCUGCAUGGUGGGGGUUGGUAAGUUUCGGCGUUUCUGGAUCGACUCGCAGCUUAUCAGUUUGUUUGUGGAGUAGUGGCUUACCAAGGCUUUGACGGCUAGCCUGCCUGGGGGGGUGACCGGCCACAUGGGGACUAAGAGACGGCGCAGACGCCUACGGGAGGCAGCAGUGGAGAGUAUUGCACAGUGGGCGGAAGCGUGAUGAAGCAACGCCGCGUGCGGGAUAACGGCCUUCGGGUUGUAAACCGCUUUCGCCUGUGACGAAGCGUGAGUGACGGUAAUGGGUAAAGAAGCACCGGCUAACUACGUG